This 267-nucleotide long non-coding RNA is filed under the name Elaeis guineensis (African oil palm). Its description in RNAcentral is "long non-coding RNA (EGUI_LNC024261)". The record is from RNAcentral. Lineage: Eukaryota; Viridiplantae; Streptophyta; Magnoliopsida; Arecales; Arecaceae.
AGAAAUCCAGUGCAAAAUUAGGAAACACCAUCUCCAGAUUCAAUUGCUCUUGUUGCUUCUCCUCCUCGAAGUUUAUCAGAGUGGCGAUGCGGGUCCCAAAGGGCGAUCUACGAGGACAGUUGGAUGUUGAUCCGGGGCACCAGGAACCUACAAAAAUAAGUCCACACAUGUUGGAGAGGGAGAUGAGGGGUUCUCCGAUAAGAGAUCCUUCGAUGCUUAAGUUAGAGAGAAUUCGAAGAAGAGAGAACAAAAGAGGUAGAUAGGAUG